AUGGUCCGGCGGCUGAUCACCACGUACGCUACGCUCACGCCGGAGCGCCGGAGGCAGAUCGAGGAGGAGCUCCGUGCAAGGCGCGCCGCCCGCAUCGCUGUCGGGCUGCCUCCGGACUCGUCGGAGCCAGAGGAGGACGAGGAGCAGCGGGCGGAUGAGGAUGAGGGAGAGCUGCUGCUGGAGCCGAUGGAGGUGGCGGAUCUGGAGGAGGAUGAGGCCGAGCACCCGGAGCAUGGGUUCAACAUGGCGGAGGCGGCGCCGGAAUUCGCCGUCGCCCAGGCCACGGAGAUGGCGGAGCAGCAGGCCAUCCCGGAGUCCAUCCAGUUUGAGGCUUACGUGGAAGCCAACCGGCAGUUACAGGUGCCGUCCGACGCGCUCUUCGCCGUUAUAUGUGGCAGUAAAUGCUCUAAGAAAUGGAUAUACAUAUCUACUACUCACAGCGUUAGCGUUUAUGACACUACACUAUUUUAA
This 471-nucleotide ribosomal RNA is filed under the name Triticum aestivum (bread wheat). RNAcentral describes it as "partial small subunit ribosomal RNA". Lineage: Eukaryota; Viridiplantae; Streptophyta; Magnoliopsida; Poales; Poaceae. The record is from RNAcentral.